RNAcentral lists this ribosomal RNA (104 nucleotides) under uncultured bacterium. RNAcentral's name for it is "partial 16S ribosomal RNA". It matches the Rfam family "Bacterial small subunit ribosomal RNA", at positions 1396 to 1500 of the family's 1533-position model. The record is from RNAcentral.
GUCACACCAUGGGAGUUGGAAAUGCCCGAAGCCAGUGACCCAACCGUAAGGAGGGAGCUGUCGAAGGUGGAGCCGAUGACUGGGUGAAGUCGUAACAAGGUAGC